CAAUAGCGUAUAUUAAAGUUGUUGCGGUUAAAAAGCUCGUAGUUGGAUUUCUGCCGAGGACGACCGGUCCGCCCUGUGGGUGAGCAUCUGGAUCGGCCUGGGCAUCUUCUUGGGGAACGUAGCUGCACUUGACUGUGUGGUGCGGUAUCCAGGACUUUUACCUUGAGGAAAUUAGAGUGUUUCAAGCAGGCGCACGCCUUGAAUACAUUAGCAUGGAAUAAUAAGAUAGGACCUCGGUUCUAUUUUGUUGGUUUCGAACACCGAAGUAAUGAUUAACAGGGACAGUCAGGGGCACUCGUAUUCCGCCGAGAGAGGUGAAAUUCUCAGACCAGCGGAAGACGAACCACUGCGAAAGCAUUUGCCAGGGAUGUUUUCACUGAUCAAGAACGAAAGUUAGGGGAUCGAAGACGAUUAGAUACCAU
This 422-nucleotide ribosomal RNA is filed under the name uncultured eukaryote. Its description in RNAcentral is "bacterial SSU rRNA". It matches the Rfam family "Eukaryotic small subunit ribosomal RNA", at positions 592 to 1018 of the family's 1831-position model. The record is from RNAcentral.